UCCGGUUGAUCCUGCCGGACCUGACUGCUAUCGGAUUGAUACUAAGCCAUGCGAGUCAUUGUAGCAAUACAAGGCAUACGGCUCAGUAACGCGUAGUCAACCUAACCUAUGGACGGGAAUAACCUCGGGAAACUGAGAAUAAUGCCCGAUAGAACAUUAUACCUGGAAUGGUUUAUGUUCCAAAUGAUUUAUCGCCGUAGGAUGGGACUGCGGCCUAUCAGUUUGUUGGUGAGGUAAUGGCCCACCAAGACUAUUACAGGUACGGGCUCUGAGAGGAGUAGCCCGGAGAUGGGUACUGAGACACGGACCCAGGCCCUAUGGGGCGCAGCAGGCGAGAAAACUUUGCAAUGUGCGAAAGCACGACAAGGUUAAUCCGAGUGAUUUCUGCUAAAGGAAUCUUUUGUUAGUCCUAGAAACACUAUGAAUAAGGGGUGGGCAAGUUCUGGUGUCAGCCGCCGCGGUAAAACCAGCACCUCAAGUGGUCAGGAUGAUUAUUGGGCCUAAAGCAUCCGUAGCCGGCUCUGUAAGUUUUCGGUUAAAUCUGUACGCUCAACGUACAGGCUGCCGGGAAUACUGCAGAGCUAGGGAGUGGGAGAGGUAGACGGUACUCGGUAGGAAGGGGUAAAAUCCUUUGAUCUAUUGAUGACCACCUGUGGCGAAGGCGGUCUACCAGAACACGUCCGACGGUGAGGGAUGAAAGCUGGGGGAGCAAACCGGAUUAGAUACCCGGGUAGUCCCAGCUGUAAACUAUGCAAACUCAGUGAUGCAUUGGCUUGUGGCCAAUGCAGUGCUGCAGGGAAGCCGUUAAGUUUGCCGCCUGGGAAGUACGUACGCAAGUAUGAAACUUAAAGGAAUUGGCGGGGGAGCACCACAAGGGGUGAAGCCUGCGGUUCAAUUGGAGUCAACGCCAGAAAUCUUACCCGGAGAGACAGCAGAAUGAAGGUCAAGCUGAAGACUUUACCAGACAAGCUGAGAGGUGGUGCAUGGCCGUCGCCAGCUCGUGCCGUGAGAUGUCCUGUUAAGUCAGGUAACGAGCGAGAUCC
RNAcentral lists this ribosomal RNA (1043 nucleotides) under metagenome. RNAcentral describes it as "bacterial SSU rRNA". It matches the Rfam family "Archaeal small subunit ribosomal RNA", at positions 1 to 1053 of the family's 1478-position model. The record is from RNAcentral.